This 1253-nucleotide ribosomal RNA is filed under the name metagenome. RNAcentral's name for it is "bacterial LSU rRNA". It matches the Rfam family "Bacterial large subunit ribosomal RNA", at positions 1634 to 2879 of the family's 2925-position model. The record is from RNAcentral.
CGAUACGACCGUACCGCAAACCGACACUGGUGCGCGAGAUGAGUAUUCUAAGGCGCUUGAGAGAACUCAGGAGAAGGAACUCGGCAAAUUGACACCGUAACUUCGGAAGAAGGUGUGCCCUAUUAGUGUGUAGUGAACAACGAAGCAUGAAUGGGUUGCAAAAAAUCGGUGGCUGCGACUGUUUAUUAAAAACACAGCACUCUGCAAACACGAAAGUGGACGUAUAGGGUGUGACGCCUGCCCGGUGCUGGAAGAUUAAAUGAUGGGGUGCAAGCUCUUGAUUGAAGUCCCAGUAAACGGCGGCCGUAACGAUAACGGUCCUAAGGUAGCGAAAUUCCUUGUCGGGUAAGUUCCGACCUGCACGAAUGGCGUAACGAUGGCCACACUGUCUCCUCCUGAGACUCAGCGAAGUUGAAAUGUUUGUGAUGAUGCAAUCUCCCCGCGGAAAGACGGAAAGACCCCAUGAACCUUUACUGUAGCUUUGUAUUGGACUUUGAACAGAUCUGUGUAGGAUAGGUGGGAGGCUUUGAAGCAGGGUCGCUAGAUCUUGUGGAGCCAACGUUGAAAUACCACCCUGGUGUGUUUGAGGUUCUAACCUAGGUCCAUUAUCUGGAUCGGGGACAGUGCAUGGUAGGCAGUUUGACUGGGGCGGUCUCCUCCCAAAGCGUAACGGAGGAGUUCGAAGGUACGCUAGUUACGGUCGGACAUCGUGACGAUAGUGCAAUGGCAUAAGCGUGCUUAACUGCGAGACUGACAAGUCGAGCAGAUGCGAAAGCAGGACAUAGUGAUCCGGUGGUUCUGUAUGGAAGGGCCAUCGCUCAACGGAUAAAAGGUACUCUCUGGAUAACAGGCUGAUACCGCCCAAGAGUUCAUAUCGACGGCGGUGUUUGGCACCUCGAUGUCGGCUCAUCUCAUCCUGGGGCUGUAGCCGGUCCCAAGGGUAUGGCUGUUCGCCAUUUAAAGAGGUACGUGAGCUGGGUUUAAAACGUCGUGAGACAGUUUGGUCCCUAUCUUCCGUGGGCGCUGCAGAUUUGAGGAAGCCUGCUCCUAGUACGAGAGGACCGGAGUGGACACACCUCUGGUGUAUCGGUUGUCACGCCAGUGGCAUUGCCGAGUAGCUAAGUGUGGAAGAGAUAACCGCUGAAAGCAUCUAAGCGGGAAACUCGUUUCAAGAUGAGAUCUGCCGGGGCCUUGAGCCCCCUAAAGAGUCGUUCAAGACCAGGACGUUGAUAGGUCAGGUGUGGAAGCGAAAA